UACAUGUUAAUUAGAGGUCUUAUAUUUGC
Molecule: small RNA, 29 nt
Filed under: Bombyx mori (domestic silkworm)
Lineage: Eukaryota; Metazoa; Arthropoda; Insecta; Lepidoptera; Bombycidae
Description: ovarian small RNA-20444
Source: RNAcentral